Non-coding RNA from Podarcis lilfordi (Lilford's wall lizard), 75 nucleotides. The record is from the annotation of a GenBank genome assembly. Lineage: Eukaryota; Metazoa; Chordata; Lepidosauria; Squamata; Lacertidae.
GCCAUGGAUAGCUCGGUUGGUUAGAGCGUGGCGCUGAUAAUGCCAAGGUUGCAAGUUCAAUUCCCACAUUGGACA